AGAAGAAGAGAAAGACAGCCGCCAGAACCAUUUUCUUUCCCUUAAACCUAGGAGCAUAGUGCUAUAAAAUCAAUCGCAACACUCAUCAUUUAGAUCUCCUUGUACAACGCUCAAUAGUUUAUUUUCUUAGCUAUUGAAAACCCCAAAAUCGACCAUUAUCACCACUAGCCAGUCAUCGAGUUUGAGGUCCUGAUAGUUCCGAUCUGAACAAAAAUAAUUUUAUUUAGUAAGGUUUCCCGUUGAGGAUUCCGAUCUAAAUAAAAAUGAUUUUAUUCAGUAAGGUUUUUCGUUGAGGAUUUCGAUCUGAGCCUCUAAAGGACUUGGAGAUUGUUGUUGCACUGUACGAGA
This 348-nucleotide long non-coding RNA is filed under the name Solanum tuberosum (potato). RNAcentral describes it as "long non-coding RNA (STUB_LNC001966)". Lineage: Eukaryota; Viridiplantae; Streptophyta; Magnoliopsida; Solanales; Solanaceae. The record is from RNAcentral.